This is a non-coding RNA of Cercophora sp. LCS_1, 115 nucleotides long. Lineage: Eukaryota; Fungi; Ascomycota; Sordariomycetes; Sordariales; Lasiosphaeriaceae. The record is from the annotation of a GenBank genome assembly.
GGGCGUGUGGCUCAGUUGGUAGAGCGUUCGCUUAGCAUGCCCAACUCCUCGGACUUCCCCAGGUUCAAGGAUCAGUGUAUGCGAAAGGUCCUGGGUUCGAUUCCCAGCUCGUCCA